UACCCACACAGCAGUAGACUCCUAGGCGGAUCCGCCUUCAAGACGCCAAACCCGCGUGACUGUCGCAUUCGUUUUGGUGCCGCACAGAGGAUCAGCUCCGCCUCCAGGCGGCCCCGUAAAUUCUACUGUCAAACAGCGGAUCCUGAGUGGACCCAUUUCGGAUCCGCGGGCGCGGACGCGCAUUUACUGUAACGGUUGAACAUGACUGUACACCAAGAGCCAAGAAGAGUCAUACUAGUGGAUAUUUUCUUUGCUGGGACACGGUUGCGCUGAACCCUCUCGACGUCAACUUUUAUCGGCUGGAUUCUAGCAUCUAACGUUACGAUUGCCUCUGUUGGGUUUGCUUGAUCAACCAUCGUUUCGGGGACUCUGAUGACAGUGAAGAGCCAGAAAAUGGUGACUUUGCAUCUCUGAGGUACCUUCCAACUCGCCUGGUAUGUCAGUUGAACCCUCAAGCCCAAGCCAAUUGCACUGGCAAACUCCACCAUCUCGCCGAGUGCCAGGCAGCCGAGUCACUACCCCUCAACCUGGAGAAAACUGUUAAGGUAAAGACUGAUCUCUGAAAUAAUAUUGAAUACAGUGGCCCCAUCUAUAUUAACACAGCAGUAGUCACUCCAUUUCAGAUCAACAGAUUGCAUCUGCAUUACCAUCUGAUAUUUUCUGCAUACUUUAUCCAUUACUUUCAAAAUCUCAGCCAAAUAUUUUGUCAGUUAAAACA
This is a long non-coding RNA of Alosa sapidissima (American shad), 718 nucleotides long. RefSeq lists it as uncharacterized. The record is from RefSeq and is a predicted model, not a curated record. NCBI's taxonomy places the organism in Eukaryota, Metazoa, Chordata, Actinopteri, Clupeiformes, Clupeidae. The transcript is spliced from 4 exons.